GAUGCUUGCAGAGCAUGUAAAUAAACCACGACAGAGUAGCUGCCGUUGUGUCUUUCCCAGCAAUUAUGAAGUUAAGGAUUAUAUCUCGCAAGUAUGUUGGAUCAGUGUCACUCACUUGUAGAAAUCUGGAUAAAAUGUCUUCCUUUUUCAUCUGCAUAAUCUGUAGAAAAUAAUAAUUUCAAUAUUCCACUUCAACAGGUAAUAUAAGUUGUUAACUAUAAGUAGCUCUACUGUUCUAGUUCACUCACUGAAGAUUCAUCCUUUGAGUUGCGCAUUUGCUCAAUCUUGUUGUGGAUCAGCUUAUACACAAAAUUAUCAACCACUUCUAUACUUUUCUUCAGUGUGGCCUCUGAUCCAAUAUUUAGAAAUCUUUUGAUCUUCCAGAAGAUAUCAACAUAUCGGAAGAGGAUUGCUGCACUUGAAUCAUCAAAAGCAGCUGUAAACUGUUUGCCUUCUAAAUUUGAUCCACACAUGCUGUCUAGUUCGACUCCAAAUGCAACUUUGAAUAUUGAAUCUAAAGUCGAUUUCAUAAACAAGUCCUGCACAAUAUAUCGUUAUAACAGAUUCAUUUUAUAUAUCACUCUGCCAUUGAUCUUGCCAUUAGGUGAACUUACCUGUAUAUCCAUUAUCUCAUUGGAAUUUGCUGCUUCAGACACUAUAGUCGCAAGUUUUGCCGCAUUUUCCCGAAAGACUACACUGCUGAAAUCUCUCAAGACCUUGGUUGAGAAUUCAUAGCUUGAUACUUUCCUCUGUUGACGCCACUUAUCACCAUCGACAGUGAAAAUCCCAUCGCCUAGUAAACCCUUUAGCAAGCUGUAAUUGUACUCACCCUGCACAAAAAAUUAAACAGAUUGGAAAACCAAAACAACUCCACCAUUCUGCCUUUUGGGUGGCCAUAUAAUUAUCAAAAGCCCUUUCAUUCCAACUAAUCACUCUGCGGCACAUUAGCAUCUUCAAUUGACUUACUUGUGGCGAGAUUGAGACCCUUUUCUUAAUCUAAUUAUGGGUGUUUCUGUCUAGGCUACUUAUACUAACCAAUCACCGGGAGAGUUCAGAAUUUUCUAGACCAACAAAUUAUUUGUGACUUUGAGGUGUGAAACGAGAGUCGGCACCAUACCUUGCCAUAAUUCUGGAAAUUUGUUUUGAGAAUAUACUCAACAUUGUCGGGUUCCGAGGUAUAAAUCUCAUUCCUGAAAGGGCUAAGCAGCCUGUAGGUCCUGUACUUCCCUGCAAGAUCAGUCAUAUAGUGAUGCAAUCUUCUGAAGUUGAGGAGCUGGUUAAAAACCGUUCCGCCAACAGGAUGGUACUUGGCCUUAUUUUUCCUCUGCCUUUCUCUUAGUUUUGCUGUGAGGAACUUGACAGUGAAAAGGGCAAGGAUUAGACUUAGAACCAAAGCUACCAAGGGAACUGGGUUAGACAGAUCCAUGGACAUGGAGGUACGUUUGGGUAAGCUGGUCUAUCAAUGUUAGGUGAAGGCUGUAUUAAACUAGAGAAGUCGGUUUUGUAAUACUAAUAAUAUCAACGGAGAGAAGUCCUUCUGCUAAGUCAUUCCUCUCAACCAAACGUGUCAUAACCUAAUUGGACGACAUUCGGACAAGCCCUAAACGUGGUUCUCUCGAAUUUCACAAGGUGAUCUUUUUGAAAAUUGGUAAAAAAUUACUAAUAAACUUCACCACAGCCAAGUAACAAAACAAAGGGCCAUACUUGUUAUUUCCUUAGUUAUGAUGAUAAAGAACAUACAAAUCUCUUCUAAUUGGUUAUUCUAUAGUUAAGUAAAGAGAAUGAUUUUUGAAUUUAAUUCUUAAAUAAGAAAAUACGUGUAUUUAUCAUGUUAAAUUUAAUACUCAAAUGAAAAAUUAAUUAGAAUUUUAUUUCGGAGCAUAUGAUACAAUCAAGUAACUUAAGUACAAAGAUGAUUAAGCUUGGCAAACAAGGAUAUGUCAUGUUUCUCAAUCCGAGAGAUAAGAAGCACAGAGCCAAAGGCCCUGCAAAAAGGCAGGGGAGAACUGAAUUGUUGUUUCCUAAAACUUUGCAUUAAGAUCAACAUGACUUUCUAGUCAUUAAAUAUUCUGCUAGAUUUCGAACUUGCAAAUAUGGUCUGUUUUAAUGAAAUUGCAGAAUGUUGUCUCACGUCUCAAGAACUUUGAUUUCACUUCUUUUUCAAGGAAAAAAAAAUGGUUUCACUUAGUUUGCAGAAGUGUCCUGAACUCAAUUUUCAGACAAAAGUAUGGUUCAAGACUCCUUGGUGAGUGAAAGUAAUUCUUCAUCAUAUUUAUUCCUUUAUUUUUCUUUUUGGAUAUCAUUGUAUUUAUUCUUGUGCAAGGACAAGUACAUGCAUACUCAAACCUUGCAAUUGCCCAGCAUACAGAACUGAGCCAACAGAUGAAACCCGUGGUCAAAUAGGCAAGAAAGACUAAGUCUGACAUCUGGGAAAUGCGCGGACAUGAAGGCCCCCAUCUACAUGAAGAGUGAUCAUCGUCCUGUAGGUGACAGAUUUAUUCUCAUCACUCAGUUUGAACACAAAGUAGUGCACAAGAACAGCCGAGAAGAUCUUCAUCUGCCUAUAAGCAAAUUCCUUGCCUAAACAAAUUCGAGGCCCUGCCUGUAAACCAUUAGAAAAUAAAGUUCAGUAUGUUCACAUCUUUAGCCGGUGAAAUCACACUUGUGAAACAAUAUGAGAAGUUUGAACUUUCGGAAAAAGACCCAGAACCAGAAAUCAAAUGCCGUUAUACUGAUUUUUUACCCUUUUUUCCUAUUUGAGGUUUUAUUUUACACCAAGUGCCAAUCAGAAUAAUAAUGCUUUGGCCGAUCUGGAAACGAAGCGUACAAGAAUUUCUAAUUUGUAGUAUGUUCUGCACACCUGGAAUGCUGUAAACUUAAAAGGGCUUUCUGGUUGGAACAUCCCAUCCUCAUCAAGCCAUCUCUCUGGUCUGAACUCCUCUGCAUCAUCACCCCAUAUGAAUUUCAUUCUGCCCAUUGCAUAAGGUUGAUAACAAACCAUAUCUCCUUUCCUCACACUGAACCCAUCUGGAAGAGUAUCAUCAGAAAAGCAUAUCUUUGGAUCCUGCAAUCAAAGUGAAGAGGUAGUGAGAACCAAAGAAAACCCCAGAACAUAGAAAGGAAGCUAAUUUCUAGCCUUCCCGAUACGCCUUGAAUGGAUAUCAGUUUAUAGAUGCAUGUUCUUUGAUGUGCAUUAACAAGUUCAGUUGGAGGAUUCAAGAUUCAAGGCAACUUUGCUUACAACUGGAACAGCGGGGUAGAGCCUUAAUGUUUCAGUUAAGGCUGCAUGGAGAUAGUGCAUUUUUCCUAGAGCUUCUUCGCUCAAGAUAGCAGCAAAUUCAGCAAAAUCUUUAACCUCCAUCGUGUCAGUUGCUUCCUUCACUUCUUGUGCAACCUUUUCUUGAACAUCAGGAUGCUUGCAGAGCAUGUAAAUAAACCACGACAGAGUAGCUGCUGUUGUGUCUUUCCCAGCAAUUAUGAAGUUAAGGAUUAUAUCUCGCACGUAUGUUGGGUCAGUGUCAUUCAAUUGCAGAAAUCUGGAUAAAAUGUCUUCCUUUUUCAUCUGCACAAUCCGUAGAAUACAAUUAUUUCAAAAUUCUACAUAGAAACCGUUAAUUAUAAGUAGCUCUAUUCUUCUAGUUCACUCACAGAAGAAUCGUUCGAGUUACGCAUCUGCUCAAUCUUGUUGUGGAUCAGCUUAUACACAAAAUUAUCAACCACUUUUGUACUUUUCUUUAGUUUUGCUUCUGAUCCAAUAUUUAAAAAUCUCUUGAUCUUCCAGAAGAUAUCAACAUAUCGGAAGAGGAUUGCUGCGCUUGAAUCAUCAAAAGCAGCUGUAAACUCUUUGCCUUCUAAAUUUGAUCCACACACGCUGUCUAGUUCAACUCCAAAUCCAACUUUGAAUAUCGAAUCUAAAGUCGAUUUCAUAAACAAGUCCUGCACAACAUUUCGCUAUAACAGGUUCAUAUUAUAUAUCACUCCGUCAUGGAUCUUGCCAUUAGGUGAACUUACCUGAAUAUCCAUUAUCUUGUUGGACUUCGCUGCGUCAGACACUAUAUUUGCAAGCUUUGCUGCAUUUUUCCGAAAGACUACAGUGCUGAAAUCCCUCAACACCUUCGUUGAGAAUUCAUAGCUUGACACUUUCCUCUGUUGACGCCACUUAUCACCAUCGACUGCGAAAAUCCCAUCACCUAGUAAACCCUUUAGCAAGCUGUAAUUGUACUCACCCUGCACAGAAAAUUAGACAAAUUGAAAAACCAAAACGACCCCACCAUUCUGCCGUAGCCAUAUAAUUAUCAAAAACUCUUUCGUUAUAGCAAAUAACCCUGCAGCACAUUAGCAUUUGUAGUUGACUUAAUUGUGACUAUAGAUUGAGACACUCUUUCAUAUUCUAAUUCUGGGUGUUACUGUCUAAGCUACUUCUUCCAACCAAUGACAGGGGGAGUUCAAAAUUUUCUAGACCAACAAAUUACCUUGCCAUAAUUCUGGAAAUUUGUUUUGAGAAUAUAUUCAACGUUGUCUGGUUCCGAGGUAUAAACCUCACUCCUGAAAGGGCUAAGCAGCCUGUAGUUCCUGUACUUCCCAGCAAGAUCAGUCAUAUAGUGAUGCACUCUUUUGAAGUUGAGGAGCUGGUUAAAAAGUGUUCCGCCAACAGGAUGGUACUUGGUCUUGUUUUUUUUCUGCUUUUCUCUUAGUUUUGCUGCGAGGAACUUGACAGUGAAAAGGAUCAGGAUUAGAUUUAGAAACAAAGCGACCAAUGUAGCUGGGUUAGACAGAUCCAUGGAGAUGGAGGUCCUUUUUGGGUAAGCUGGUCGAUCAAUGUUAGCGGGUGAAGACUGAAGAAAACUAGAGGUCUUUUUAUAAUACUAAUAAUAUCAACGGGGAGAAAUCCUUUUGCUAAGUCAUUUCUCUUAACCAGACGUGUGACUAUAUUCGGACAAUCCGCAAACGUGUUUCUCUUAAAUUUUACGUGCACAUUGCUGAGAGUCCAACCAUGAGAGAGAUAUGCACCGACUUUCCUUCGUUGUCUCCUUUUUCGUUUUUAAAUUGUUAUAAGUUAUUAACUAAUUUCACCACAACCAAUUAACAAAACAAAGGGCAGGACUAGGUUUUUUUUUACUCAGUCAAUAUAACUAUUUAGAGAAAAUUGUGAAAAAUAACUCAUAAGGUGAUUUCAAAAAUAAUUAUCCAUAUAAUGUUAUCUGUUUUUACCAAAAAACAAACAUGAGUAAACCAAAAUGCUCUCAGAAACAUCCUGGCAAAUCAAUCUCCUAAUAUCUCUCUCGCUGUAAAGAAAAUAAAUACUCAGUUAUUUCAGCUCGCUCAACUCUUUCAGCUCUCUAAAUUAUAUCAGCUUUGUCAACUCUCUGUUAAGUACCAUCGUCAUCAACUCUCUUAGCUAUUUGAACUGUAUCAUCUAUAUGUACUUAUUAAAGAUAUAAAUUAAAGAAUAUAAAAGAAAACGAAGUAAAUGAAUAAUUGAAAAGACAAGUCGAGCCACUAAUUACUACAAUGAUCACUGUCUGAUCACGACAGCUAAAGCCACUGCAAUUGCUCGGCCAAUAAAGUUGACAAACUUUGUUGAAAUAGGACUUGCAUUGAAAAUCACGUCAGUUCAUACUAUCUUAGGAUCAUAUGUGACCAUUUUGUAUAAGCUAGCUUUCUUUCAAAUUAUGAUAACUAUGCAUUUAAUGAAUGAUUUAUAUGAUGAUUAGUAUGCAUUCUUAGGCCUAGCUACUGUUCAAAACUUAGUUGUUAAGUUUUGUUAUGUAUAUAAACUAAGUCAAUGCAUAUCAGAAAUAUGAAACCUACUGUUACAACAAAAACUGUCUUUACUUGCUCUGUUUCAUACUUAUCCUACAUCAACUAAAACACAACAAAACUUACUAAAUAAAGCAAUCUAUAUACCAACAAUGUCUUGGAAUUUAGCAAGUUUUAGUUUGUCCUCUUGGAAUGACAUAGAGGUCGAGGCCAUGCUGGAGGGUGAAGCCACAACAUGGUCCUAUCGUCUGCCAAGUUGAAGCGAAAGUAGUGAAUAAGGGAACUUUGUUGAGAUUUUCUUUAUCUGCUCAGAAGAAAUUAAGAAAAAAUUAUAUGGUGUAGAUACUUGAUUUUGAUUUUGAUUGUUAACAUAUUUCUUCAAUAUAAAGUAAAAUUAAUUUAUAAAACGUUGUAUUACUAUGUAAGAAGUAGUGUAGAUAAUUUAUAAUAAGUAGAAAAAUCACGUCAUUGUAUAAACUAGUGAAAAUAUCUUCGAAAUAAAUGAUGAGAUUUUUAAAUUAAUUUUUUUAAAAUGUUUUGAAGAGUUUGAUUUGAUAACUUAAAUACAUAAAUGAAAAUUUUCUAAAUACGUAUGCAUAAAAUCCACUAUCACCAUCAAUGACCUAAACAUUCAUAAGGCUUUAAUGCCUCAACAGUUGACAUUUUCUCAUUGGUAUGAAUAAAUUUCAUUAAUUACAAGAUUACUCAAUUCCAUAACCCUUCAAGAUAUUUUCUCAUUGAUUGUGUUCGAUUUGAUAAGGAUGUUAAUUUUUUUUUUUGAAUUACAAAUAUUUUUCAUUUUUUUAAAUAAUUAAGUGACGCACUUCUAAUGCCUCAGUAGCUGACAUUAAUUAUCCAUUGGUUGCAUUCACUUUGAUUCGGAGCUAAUUAACAACCGAAAAGUUGGCCGAUGUUUGCCGACUUGGAUUUAAUGGUCAUAUGAGUUGGUGUAACAAUGUGAUACCAAAAAGGUAGUAAUCAAUACAAAUUUUGAGUAGGAAGAGUACUGCAUUCAAAUGAAAUCAAGAAGAAGAUUGUGGAGAAAACUCUCAUUUAAUGGAAGAACAUGACUGCCAAAUACGAGUACCUAAACAUGGUUUGGCAAUUGCCAUCAUCCUAUGCAUCCCUAGGUUACUUAACUGAUUGAUGUAAUUCAUUGAAUAAAAUGGUUAGUUGUUAUUAUCAUGUCAUGUCAUCGUCAUGAUAUUUCUUCCUCUUUUGUGAGUAAUGAGAUUUUUGAAGGAUGGAGAUGACUCUACCUAAAUUCUUAGAUUUUUUUGUUGCUUAUUUUCAUUGUAUUUUGAGUUUUUGACUGUGUCUAACUGUUUAUCUUUUGCAAAGCCAUUUUUUCACCUUAAUUUCAACCCAGCAUCUGUGUGUUGUCCGAUGGGUUAGAAAAUGGGCAAGUUUGAUUGGUGGUUGAUUCCUUUUCUUCAGCAUUUUGGUAACUUGGGCCUAUAAAAUUUAUUUAUAGUAGACAAAAAAAAACUUUUAUUAAAAAAUAUUAUAGUAAAUAUUUGUUUCUUUUCGGAUAAUUGACUUUUAUUUAGCUAAGGAAUAUUUUAUUUGAAAUAUGUCCCAUAUAUACCACUGAAAAUCCAAGGCUUUUUAUGGUUAUUCAUUCUUAAUGGCAUUUCUACUAAAUGCUUUCUAAGAAUCAGAACGCAUGGUGUAUGUCCUACAAUACAAAUGGUGAUAACCUUUGUUUUUGGUGUUACAGCCAUGGAGGAAAAGAGUGAUGAUAUUUUAUUUUCUUGUCACUUCAUACGGUCCAUGGAGGAAAUGUGGAUAGAUCGAAGAUAAGUAAAUCAAGAUUCACAGACUGUGAAAGCGUAUUAAAAGAUGAGAACUUUUUGACUUGGAUUUUUUUUAAUAAAAGUUCUUUGCUUGGAUUUUUUUUUAGUAAAAAUUCUUUGCUUGGAUUUAAGAGAUGAGAUUCAAAGAACUUUUAAGAGAUGCAGCAAACAACCUCAAAAUCCAAGCUCUUUGCUUGUAAGCUUCCUAGCCACUUGUAAACAGAAAAUACGGCUUCUAUGGAGUCCCAAUCUCGGGAAAUGGUCAGGGCAUAUAGACCAGAUGACUCGAAUUGUACAUAUAUUUUUUUCUUUUUUGGUGAAAUAACUCAAAUUCCAUUGAUCAACACAUUUACAGAAAAAAGCAAAUCAACACUAUAGAAAAAUGCAAAUCGGGGCUCUUAUGUACAACCAGCAAGGUUGAAGACUUGAAGUUGAACAAAUUGAUGACUUUGCACAGGAGGAUAUUUGGAAAUUCAUCAACUUGUCCUUGGAACAGCAUAAAGAUGGAGGCCCCCCUUCAUAUGAAGUGUGAACAUUGUCCUGUAAGUUGCAAUUUUCGUAUAAUCAACUAAUUUAAAGCGGAAGAAGCGAAGAAGGGCAAUUGAGACUAUCUUCAUCUACCGGUGAGCAAAAUCCUUGCCUAAGCAAGUUCGAGGACCCGCCUGAAACAUAAUGCAGCAGCUGGAAAAGAUUAAGAUCGUUUGACAACUAUAUAGGCACAUGCAUGUUAUACACAUGGUAGAAAUGGAACAAAGAAUACUAACAUGAAAUGCUAUGAAUUUGAAAGGGGAUUCGGACUGGAAAACUCCAUUGUUAAGCCAUCUUUCUGGUCGAAAAGUGUCGGCAUCUUCUCCCCAAAUGUCAGGCAUUCUACGCAUGGCGUAGGCCAUGUAAUACACCCCGUCUCCUUUCUUGAGUUUGUAGCCAUCGGGGAGAAUGUCAUCCUGCUCUGCAUUCCUUCCAUCCUUGAAGCACAAAGUGAGAACCAUAUCAUAUUCCAGCUGUCGAAAUGCUAAGACUGCAAGAAAAUCUAUGAGUGUCUCAGGCACCUUACAAUGGCGACAGCAGGGUACAGCCUUAAGGUCUCUGUUAUGGCUGCAUGAAGAUAGUGCAUUUGCUCUAGGGUUGAAUCAGUUAUGGUUGUCACGAAAUCAUCAACAUUAUUAGCACCAUUUCUUUUACUACUAGUGACGUCCACCACUUCUUGUGCAAGUUUUUCUUGUAUCAAAGGGUUCUUGCAGAGCAUGUAGAAGAACCAGGACAGAGUAUUCGCAGAAGAAUCUUUGCCAGCGAGUACGAAGUUCAGGAUUAUAUCCCUUAAAUAUUUGUCAUUCAUUGUGUCUGGAUUCUUCUCGCUUUCCACUAAAAAUCUUGAAAGUAUGUCUUCUUUCACAUUCUUGAAGCCAUAAAAAGAAAUAAGAAAAAACAAACCAAUUAUUAGUAAAGUAUAAAUUUCCACGCCAAAAACCAGAUUACCUUAAGCAGUGAGAUUGAAUUCAACAGUGUUCUUGUGACUCUCAAGUCCCACCAUAUUUGUUAGACCAAGAUUGACUAUAAGAAAUUCUUGCAGCAAAAUAUAUAUGGCUCACCAAAUCUCGUUCCAUGCCCAGCAGUUUCCUCUUGGAGCUAAUGACAUCGUGAACAAAGUAUCAACGACUUUGAUAUUCUUUCUGAGGGCAGCUUCAGAGCCAAUGUUAAGAGACCGUUUCAGCUUCCAGAAAGGGUCAACAAAGCGCCUCUCAUUUGAAUCAUCAAAAGCCUUCAUAAAAGUAGUCCCUUCCUUACUUGACCCAUCCAUGCAGUUUAAAUCUAUGCCAAACCCAACUUUGAAUAUGGAAUCUAGAGUGCAUGUCAUUAAUAGAUUCUACAAAUUAAAGUAAACACAGCAUGAAAAACUGAAAAAGGGAAAAUUAGACAAGCAUAAUUGUGAGCAUCUUUAAAGUUUUGGGUUAAUUUGAGGGUCAGAUUUCUCACUUGCAUGUCAAAAGCUUGACCCGACACUUCCAGCUUCGAAAUAACUCCAACCAGUUUGGCAGCGUUCCUUCUGAAAACAGAGCAGCUAAAAUAUUUAAGAACUCUCGUCGAGAACUCGAAGCUUGCCAGCUUCCGCUGCUUCCGCCACUUGUCUCCGUCCACCGCAAAGAUCCCUUGUCCAAAAAGAUCUAUCAGAAUUUCUUGGUUUUGUUUACCCUUACAGUAUCUGUCGAACUUUGUUUUCAAUAUGUACUCUACAUUUCGCGUAUCGACGGUGUAUACUACGCUUAGCCCUAAAGCGAGUUGCCUGUAAGUGGGCUGUUUUUUGGCCGCUUGGGUUUGGUAGUCGUAGAGAUAGUUGAAAUAAAACAACUGGUUGAAAACGCUGCCCUUCACCGGUGGGUUGUCAGGAUUUCCGAUGGAUUUUCCGGUGAAGAUUUUGAUUGUGAGAAAAGAGAAGAUCAGGAAGAGAAUGAGUGGUGGUAAUGACAUCAACAAGAAGAUGGUAGAGAGAAUAUCCAUUUUUCCUUUUUCUAAUGAAUACUCGGAAAGGUUAUAGGCCAUAUAUGCAGAUUCUUGCAUUGGGUUGCAUUCAUUUUUCAACCUACCAACAAAAUCAAACCGUUUUCAUCACCAAUAUCUUUCUCAACAACAAAAUCAUUUGUUUAAUAAUUAUAAUGUUUACACGUGUACGAUUGCCAUUUCAUCAAUUUGAUUUUUCUUGUAAAUUAAGUUGAUGCCACCAUAUCUCAUACUUCAAAAAUUUUAGAGGAUUGUACGGAUAAUCAUAAAUUUAUAAUCAUAAUUAUAAUCUAUUUAACUUCUAAAGUGAAUUAACAUAUAUAACUUUAAUCAAGUAAGCAUGAAAAAAGUGUAUCAUUUAAGUUUGGGUCUUGUUUACGAAUAUUCUAAGAGUUUUUUUAUCGUUAAUUAAAAUAUUAUAAUAAUAUUUUUCUUUUAAAUGUCGUAAUUGACUGGUAGUGCGAUGAUUUUCAAUAUAUCUAAAAUGAUAUUACUCAAUAUAAUAACUUUAAAUAAUAUCAUUAUAACAAUAGUUAGUAAAAGUCAUAAUAUUCAAAAAAGCUUUUAAAUUAUUCAAAAAAUUUAAAAUAAAUCUUACUUUUAUUAUAUUCAAUUAUAUUUUUAUAUUUUUAUUUUAGAUCAAAUAAAUCUUUUAUUUUUAUUUUGAAUCAAAUAAAUCUUUAUAAAUAAUAAUUGACUUAGUUAAAAUGUUAUUUGUCAUUAUAUAUUACGUGACGCUGAUGUAGUAUACUAACAUAUCAUAAUUAAUGAUGAUGUGAUAUGUUGAUUUAUCAUAUUUGAUAAUGAUAUGACAUGCUAGUUUAACCUAAUAACAUGAUGACAUUUUUCAAUCUCUACAUUAAUAUCAUAUUAGUGCCACGUGGAUAUAAAAUGAUAAAAUAUAUUUUGACUAAUGAAAAUUAGUCAAUUAUUAUUAAUAAAAGCUUAUUUGAUCUAAAAUAAAAAUAUAGAGACUUGAUUAAGCGUAACAAAAGAAUAAAAAUUUAUUCGAAUUUUGUUAAAUAGUUUCAGAGCUUAUUUGAGAAAUAUGUGUUAGUAAAACCAUUUAUAUUUAAAUUUUUAUUUUAUUUUUUGAAAAGUAAUUUGUCAUAAACGGAAUAAUGACAUGGCUAUAGAUUAAGCUAGGCUAUAAACUUAUUUCAGCCUUAAAUGAUUAACAAUGAAUAAGGUGCGUCCCCUCUCAAGAAACCCCUAUACAAUAGUUAGGAUAAACCCUUAAAGGAUGGACCUCAGGACCGGGGGCAGCUCAAGUACCUCUUGUGACGACAUGAUAUUCAUUGAAGACUAUUUGGACUUCAAGCGUGUUCAUCCAUUGACAUUGGCAAUUAGUUUCUGCUGGCAUGAACCGUAUGGCGACCACUUGUAUGAUUGUGAUAUAUCAUGCUGUUGAGUGCGAGCUCAACUUUGUUGAAGUACAUUGGUGUCCUUGGUUUUGUUGAAUUCUGACAAUAGACAUCCCAUACCCAAUUCAUAGCAUACAUAUGGCUUUUAUCUUUGUUUAAAUUGAAUUAAGAACAUCCGGAUUCAUUUCAUACUCAUAAGAUCUUAAGAUGAUCAAGAUUUGCACUUAACGGAAGCAAAACUGGCCUGAACUCAAUAUUCAGACAAAAGUAUGGUUCUAGACUCUUUGGUCAGUGAAAGCAACCAUCCAUCAUAUCGAUUCCUUUCGUCCUUUUUGCUUGGUGACAUCAUCCGAUUUACUCAUGUGCAAGGAAAGAUACAAGUAUAUUAACAGUGUGCAUUUGCCUAGUAUAAAGAACUGAGCCACCAGAUGAAACCCUUGGUCAAAUAAGCUAGAAAGACCAAAGUUAAGUCUGACAUCUGUGAAGUGCGCGGACAUGAAGGCCCCCAUCUACAUGAAGAUUGAUCAUCGUCCUGUAGGUGACACAUUUAUUCUCAUCACUCAGUUUGAACGCAAAGCAGUGCACCAGAACAGCUGAGAAGAUCUUCAUCUGCCUAUAAGCAAAUUCCUUGCCUAAACAAAUUCGAGGCCCUGCCUGUAAACCAUUAGAAAAUAAAGUUCAGUAUCUUCACAUCUUUAGCCGGUAAAAUCACACUUGUGAAACAAUAUGAGAGGUUUGAACUUUCAGAAAAAGACUCAGAACCAGAAUCAAAUGCUGUUAUGCUGCUUUUUUACCAUUUUUUUUCUAUUUGAGGUCUUUUUUUACACCAAGUGCCAAUCAGAAUAAAAAUGCUUUGCCCGAUCUGCAAAAGAAGCAUACAACAAUUUCUAAUUUGCAACAUGUUCUGCAUACCUGGAAUGCUGUAAACUUAAAAGGGCUUUCUGGUUGGAACAUCCCCUCCUCAUCAAGGCAUCUCUCUGGUCUGAACUCCUCUGCAUCAUCACCCCAAAUGAAUUUCAUUCUGCCCAUUGCAUAAGGUUCAUAACAAACCAUAUCUCCUUUCCUCACACUGAACCCAUCUGGAAGAGUUUCAUCAGACAAGCAUAUCUUUGCAUCCUGCAAUCAAAGUGAAGAGGUAGUGAGAACCAAAGAAAACCCCAGAACAUAGCAAGGAAGCUAAUUUCUAGCCUUCCCGAUAUGCAUUGAAUGGAUAUCAGUUUAUCGAUGCAUGUUCUUUGAUGUGCAUUAACAAGUUCAGUUGGAGGAUUCAAGAUUCAAGGCAACUUUGCUUACAACUGGAACAGCGGGGUAGAGCCUUAAUGUUUCAGUUAAGGCUGCAUGGAGAUAGUGCAUUUUUCCUAGGGCUUCUUCGCUCAAGAUAGCAGCAAAUUCAGCAAAAUCUUUAACCUCCUUCGUGUCAGUUGCUUCCUUCACUUCUUGUGCAACCUUUUCUUGAACAUCAGGAUGCUUGCAGAGCAUGUAAAUAAACCACGACAGAGUAGCUGUCGUUGUGUCUUUCCCAGCAAUUAUGAAGUUAAGGAUUAUAUCUCGCAAGUAUGUUGGAUCAGUGUCACUCACUUGUAGAAAUCUGGAUAAAAUGUCUUCCUUUUUCAUCUGCAUAAUCUGUAGAAAAUAAUAAUUUCAAUAUUCUACUUCAACAGGUAAUAUAAGCUGUUAACUAUAAGUAGCUCUACUGUUCUAGUUCACUCACUGAAGCUUCAUCCUUUGAGUUGCGUAUUGGCUCAAUCUUGUUGUGGAUCAGCUUAUACACAAAAUUAUCAACCACUUCUAUACUUUUCUUCAGUGUGGCCUCUGAUCCAAUAUUUAGAAAUCUUUUGAUCUUCUAGAAGAUAUCAACAUAUCGGAAGAGGAUUGCUGCACUUGAAUCAUCAAAAGCAGCUGUAAACUGUUUGCCUUCUAAAUUUGAUCCACACAUGCUGUCUAGUUCGACUCCAAAUGCAACUUUGAAUAGUGAAUCUAAAGUCGAUUUCAUAAACAAGUCCUGCACAAUAUAUCGUUAUAACAGAUCCAUUUUAUAUAUCACUCUGCAUUGAUCUUGCCAUUAGGUGAACUUACCUGUAUAUCCAUUAUCUCAUUGGAAUUUGCUGCUUCAGACACUAUAGUUGCAAGUUUUGCCGCAUUUUCCCGAAAGACUACACUGCUGAAAUCUCUCAAGACCUUGGUUGAGAAUUCAUAGCUUGAUACUUUCCUCUGUUGACGCCACUUAUCACCAUCGACAGUGAAAAUCCCAUCACCUAGUAAACCCUUUAGCAAGCUGUAAUUGUACUCACCCUGCACAGAAAAUUAAACAGUUUGGAAAACCAAAACAACUCCACCAUUCUGCCUUUUGGGUGGCCAUAUAAUUAUCAAAAGCCCUCUCAUUCCAACUAAUCACUCUGCGGCAUAUUAGCAUCUACAAUUGACUUACUUGUGGCGAGAUUGAGACCCUUUUUCUUAAUCUAAUUACGGGUGUUUCUGUCUAAGCUACUUACACUAACCAAUCACCGGGAGAGUUCAGAAUUUUCUAGACCAACAAAUUAUUUGUGACUUUGAGGUGUGAAACGAGAGUCGGCACCAUACCUUGCCAUAUUUCUGGAAAUUUGUUUUUAGAAUAUACUCAACAUUGUCUGGUUCCGAGGUAUAAAUCUCAUUCCUGAAAGGGCUAAGCAGCCUGUAGUUCCUGUACUUCCCAGCAAGAUCAGUCAUAUAGUGAUGCAAUCUUCUGAAGUUGAGGAGCUGGUUAAAAACCGUUCCGCCAACGGGAUGGUACUUGGCCUUAUUUUUCCUCUGCCUUUCUCUUAGUUUUGCUGUGAGGAACUGGACGGUGAAAAGGGUCAGGAUUAGACUUAGAACCAAAGCUACCAAGGGAACUGGGUUAGACAGAUCCAUGAAGAUGGAGGUACGUUUGGGAAAGCUGGUCUAUCAAUGUUAGGUGAAGGCUGUAUUAAACUAGAGAAGUCGUUCUGAAAUACUAAUAAUAUCAACGGAGAGAAGUCCUUCUGCCAAGUUAUUCCUCUCAACCAAACGUGUCACAACCUAAUUGGACUACAUUCGGACAAGCCCGAAACGUGGUUCUCUCGAAUUUCACAAGGUGAAAUUUUUGAAAUUGGCAAAAAAUUACUAAUAAAUUUCACCACAACCAGAUAACAAAACAAAGGGUCAUACUUAUUUUUUCCUUAGUUAUGAUGGUAAAGGACAUACAUAUCUGUUCUAUUCGGUUAUUUUGUAGUUAAGUAAAGAGAAUGAUUUUUUAAUUUAAUUUUUAAAUAAAAAUACGUGUAUUUAUCAUGUUAAGUUUAAUAUUCAGAUGAAAAAUUAAUUAGAAUUUUAUUUCAAAGCAUAUGAUACAAUUAAGUAACUUAAGUACAAAGAUGAUUAAGCUUAGCAAACAAGGAAAUGUCAUAUUUCUCAAUCCGAGAGAUAAGAAGCACAGAGCCAAAGGCCCUGCAAAAAGGCAGGGGAGAACUGAAUUGUUGUUUCCUAAAACUUUGCAUUAAGAUCAACAUGACUUUCUAGUCAUUAAAUAUUCUGCUAGAUUUCGAACUUGCAAAUAUGGUCUGUUUUAAUGAAAUUGCAGAAUGUUGUCUCAGGUCUCAACAACUUUGAUUUCACUUCUUUUUCAAGGAAAAAAAAAUGGUUUCACUUAGUUUGCAGAAGUGUCCUGAACUCAAUUUUCAGACAAAAGUAUGGUUCGAGACUCCUUGGUGAGUGAAAGUAAUUCUUCAUCAUAUUUAUUCCUUUAUUUUUCUUUUUGGAUAUCAUUGUAUUUAUUCUUGUGCAAGGACAAGUACAUGCAUACUCAAACCUUGCAAUUGCCCAGCAUACAGAACUGAGCCAACAGAUGAAACCCGUGGUCAAAUAGGCAAGAAAGACUAAGUCUGACAUCUGGGAAAUGCGCGGACAUGAAGGCCCCCAUCUACGUGAAGAGUGAUCAUCGUCCUGUAGGUGACAGAUUUAUUCUCAUCACUCAGUUUGAACACAAAGUAGUGCACCAGAACAGCCGAGAAGAUCUUCAUCUGCCUAUAAGCAAAUUCCUUGCCGAAACAAAUUCGAGGGCCUGCCUGUAAACCAUUAGAAAAUAAAGUUCAGCAUGUUCACAUCUUUAGCCGGUGAAAUCACACUUGUGAAACAAUAUGAGAAGUUUGAACUUUCGGAAAAAGACCCAGAACCAAAAAUCAAAUGCUGUUAUACUGCUUUUUUAGCCUCUUUUUCUAUUUGAGGUUUUAUUUUACACCAAGUGCCAAUCAGAAUAAUAAUGCUUUGGCCGAUCUGGAAACGAAGCGUACAAGAACUUCUAAUUUGUAGUAUGUUCUGCACACCUGGAAUGCUGUAAACUUAAAAUGGCUUUCUGGUUGGAACAUCCCAUCCUCAUCAAGCCAUCUCUCUGGUCUGAACUCCUCUGCAUCAUCACCCCAUAUGAAUUUCAUUCUGCCCAUUGCAUAAGGUUGAUAACAAACCAUAUCUCCUUUCCUCACACUGAACCCAUCUGGAAGAGUAUCAUCAGAAAAGCAUAUCUUUGCAUCCUGCAAUCAAAGUGAAGAGGUAGUGAGAUCCAAAGAAAACCCCAGAACAUAGAAAGGAAGCUAAUUUCUAGCCUUCCCGAUACGCAUUGAAUGGAUAUCAGUUUAUAGAUGCAUGUUCUUUGAUGUGCAUUAACAAGUUCAGUUGGAGGAUUCAAGAUUCAAGGAAACUUUGCUUACAACUGGAACAGCGGGGUAGAGCCUUAAUGUUUCAGUUAAGGCUGCAUGGAGAUAGUGCAUUUUUCCUAGAGCUUCUUCGCUCAAGAUAGCAGCAAAUUCAGCAAAAUCUUUAACCUCCAUCGUGUCAGUUGCUUCCUUCACUUCUUGUGCAACCUUUUCUUGAACAUCAGGAUGCUUGCAGAGCAUGUAAAUAAACCACGACAGAGUAGCUGCUGUUGUGUCUUUCCCAGCAAUUAUGAAGUUAAGGAUUAUAUCUCGCACGUAUGUUGGGUCAGUGUCAUUCAAUUGCAGAAAUCUGGAUAAAAUGUCUUCCUUUUUCAUCUGCACAAUCCGUAGAAUACAAUUAUUUCAAAAUUCUACAUAGAAACCGUUAAUUAUAAGUAGCUCUAUUCUUCUAGUUCACUCACAGAAGAAUCGUUCGAGUUACGCGUCUGCUCAAUCUUGUUGUGGAUCAGCUUAUACACAAAAUUAUCAACCACUUUUGUACUUUUCUUUAGUUUUUGCUUCUGAUCCAAUAUUUAAAAAUCUCUUGAUCUUCCAGAAGAUAUCAACAUAUCGGAAGAGGAUUGCUGCACUUGAAUCGUCUAAAGCAGCUG
Molecule: long non-coding RNA, 16712 nt
Filed under: Theobroma cacao (cacao)
Lineage: Eukaryota; Viridiplantae; Streptophyta; Magnoliopsida; Malvales; Malvaceae
Description: long non-coding RNA (TCAC_LNC000631)
Source: RNAcentral